AGUGAACGCUGGCGGCGUGCCUAAUACAUGCAAGUCGAACGGAGAUUAAGUAGCUUGCUAUUUAAUCUUAGUGGCGCACGGGUGAGUAAUAUAUAGCUAACUUGCCCAUUACUAAGGGACAACAGUUGGAAACGACUGCUAAUACCUUAUACUCCGUAUCUAUAUAAGUAGAUACGGGAAAGUUUUUCGGUAAUGGAUAGGGCUAUAUCGUAUCAGCUAGUUGGUAAGGUAAUGGCUUACCAAGGCUAUGACGCGUAACUGGUCUGAGAGGAUGAUCAGUCACACUGGAACUGAGACACGGUCCAGACUCCUACGGGAGGCAGCAGUAGGGAAUAUUGCUCAAUGGGGGAAACCCUGAAACAGCAACGCCGCGUGGAGGAUGACACUUUUCGGAGCGUAAACUCCUUUUCUUGGGAAAGAAUUAUGACGGUACCCAAGGAAUAAGCACCGGCUAACUCCGUG
RNAcentral lists this ribosomal RNA (462 nucleotides) under uncultured bacterium. RNAcentral describes it as "partial 16S ribosomal RNA". It matches the Rfam family "Bacterial small subunit ribosomal RNA", at positions 29 to 507 of the family's 1533-position model. The record is from RNAcentral.